CAGUUAGUGCCCAUCUCAACAAGCUAUUCUUGGGCAGUUGGCAAACUUGGCAUAUAAAGCAUACCUUAUUCGUUGUUUAUUAAGCUCAUUUUCCUCUUUAAAUUUUGAUUAAUAAAUAAAUAAAACUCCAAAUUAGUUGUUAGCAAUCUGGCACGUACAACAACAAUCACAAAGAGAGUGAAACUGUGUGUGAUUAGCGAGAAGGGCUCUGAGAAUCAUCGGAAAAAAGGUGUUCAGAUACUGGAAAUUAGGGUGUAAUGUUAUCAAGUAUGAGAUUCAAGAAAGGGAGUAAAGUGGAAGUAUUAAGCAAAAAGGAGGUGCCUUCGGGCUCCUGGCGAUGUGCUGAGAUUAUCUGUGGUAAUGGCUACAACUACACUGUUAGAUAUGAUGGGAAUGAGAGCGCCAACGAUGAGGCUGUUGCAGAGAGGGUAUCAAGGAACACCAUUAGGCCUUGCCCUCCUCCACUUGGAAUUUCAGAGAACUGGGUUCGUGGUUCUGUUGUGGAGGUGUUUGACAAUUUUUCUUGGAAAAUGGCAACAGUUUCACAGGUUUUGGGGAGAAAGUACUUUUUAGUCAGGUUACUUGGGUCAUCUCUGGAAUUCAAAGUCUUCAAGUUUAACAUCCGGGCAAGGCAGUCUUGGCAUGAUGACAAAUGGGUUGUGGUUGGAAAGGGUUGUGGAAAUUUUGAAGGUGGAAAACAUGAUGAACAUUCAAAUCUGAAGUGCAAUCUAAAUUUAAGCUACCAAUUUCACAAGACAAACACAAGGGUGAAUCUAAGUGUAGAAGAUGACUAUUUUCCUGUUAAGAACAGAAUGAAUUUCCAGGAGUCCCAUGUUGUUUCAUCUAAAACUUUGAAGAGAGGGUCACCCUAUUGCUAUUCUCAAGUUGAAGUAUAUGCUGGAGUCAACCAUAAAUUUAGAGCAAUAGAAAAAGAGGGUGAGUGUCACCGAGUGAAAGCUGCCAAUUCAUCCACAUUGCCCAAAAAGGUAGACGCUGUUGCUUUCCCGAGAGACAUGCUGGGUGAAAAAUGCAUAAACGUUUCUUCUAACAACAGAACAACUGGGAUAUCUGAAGUGGAAGUAGAAAGGAGGAAACCGACUGGCAUUGUGGGGUGUUCAUUUCCAAACUUAGAAUCAAAUUAUGCUGAUAGUGUUACAUGUUCUGUUGGUAGUUGUAGCAUCACUAGCAACAGUUCCUAUAAGAUCCCUCAUCAUGUUUCUGCAGGUCAUAUUGAGGAUGAUGAUGGUCAUUGGAGUGAUGCCGAAUCUUUUUGUCAGUGGGGGUAUGAGGAAGGAAAUUCUCUCCUUCCUACAAAAGAGGAACUAGCAGCUGAAAUACAUAGGGCUGAAGUAGUAAGGCCUGUGCACCCCACCCCAAAACUUCUAAAGAUGAUGCCACCUGUGAGCCUCAGAUAUCUGUGUUGCUGAAGGAUGCAAGACCAGAAUCUUGUGGCAGCCACGGAUGACCUGAUAUGUGGAUGCUUGAAAGCUUAGUGAGAAGUUGGCCAAUUCUCCUCGGGAAGCAGAUAUUGCUAAUAAUCGCAUACACAUCUGCAUUAGUAGAAGCGGCCAGAGCUACCUCUUUGUUAGCAUGGAUGACCACAAGCUGCCAUUUUGUCGAUGAGAGGUCAGGUUGUGCACUUGUUCUUCUUCGGUUUAUGGCGGUGCUUAUUCUCUGGUUGGGGCUUUUUGAGCCCUUUUGUCAUUUGAAACCGCUUCGUGCAGCCCUUGGAGAGGCCCGACUUUUUUGUGAUUCUUCUGGAGUCAUGGGUGAUAACCAUUGCCUACUGUUAUUUGUUUGUUUUUGUGUUUGGUUGCCUUUUCUGUUGGAGUUUAGUUGAUUUGUUGUUGUUCUUUUUGGGUUAGUUGUUGAGGAGCCCACCCCUUCUUUAUUUGUAGGAUUCUCCACUUCUUCCUUUUGGAUCAGAAGUGGAAAUGAUCCUCUCUUGUAACCCUUUUCCUCAAUCAAUUAGAGAGAGAAAAAAAAAUAAAAAAUAAAAAAAU
Molecule: RNA transcript, 2003 nt
Organism: Alnus glutinosa
Lineage: Eukaryota; Viridiplantae; Streptophyta; Magnoliopsida; Fagales; Betulaceae
Exons: 8
Source: RefSeq, a predicted model, not a curated record